RNAcentral lists this ribosomal RNA (484 nucleotides) under uncultured bacterium. RNAcentral describes it as "partial 16S ribosomal RNA". It matches the Rfam family "Bacterial small subunit ribosomal RNA", at positions 30 to 507 of the family's 1533-position model. The record is from RNAcentral.
AUUGAACGCUGGCGGAAUGCUUUACACAUGCAAGUCGAACGGCAGCACGGGGGCAACCCUGGUGGCGAGUGGCGAACGGGUGAGUAAUACAUCGGAACGUGCCCGGUCGUGGGGGAUAACGUAGCGAAAGUUACGCUAAUACCGCAUACGAUCUGAGGAUGAAAGCGGGGGACCUUCGGGCCUCGCGCGAUCGGAGCGGCCGAUGUCAGAUUAGGUAGUUGGUGGGGUAAAGGCCUACCAAGCCGGCGAUCUGUAGCUGGUCUGAGAGGACGACCAGCCACACUGGGACUGAGACACGGCCCAGACUCCUACGGGAGGCAGCAGUGGGGAAUUUUGGACAAUGGGCGCAAGCCUGAUCCAGCCAUUCCGCGUGCAGGACGAAGGCCUUCGGGUUGUAAACUGCUUUUGUAUGGAACGAAAAGGCUCUGGCUAAUACCUGGGGCUCAUGACGGUACCGUAAGAAUAAGCACCGGCUAACUACGUG